UACCAUCUGCGCCUAGCUGGUGCUAUCUAGCAGUAUAGAUGGCUGAAGAGGGAAUCUGGUGUAACUCCAGAACUGACGCGCAGCGGUAAUAGAGAACGAACACUCUUAAGACACUGCCUCUAGUAUGGGGGUGGGAAGUCGAGUAAGUAGGAAAGUAUAGAGCUCUAAAGUCCGAAUACCUGCCAGCAACUGAGCAAACAC
Molecule: non-coding RNA, 201 nt
Filed under: Vibrio sp.
Lineage: Bacteria; Pseudomonadati; Pseudomonadota; Gammaproteobacteria; Vibrionales; Vibrionaceae
Source: RNAcentral